UGUAUCAAAUAUCUGUGUCUUUUUUUUUCUUUUUAAUGGGAUACAUCGAUGUUUUUUUCUAAAAUGAAAAUUAAAGAAAAACACGAAAAUUUUUAGUACUAUGAAACAAAACAAAUCUAUACUUUUAGUUAAAAAUAUUUCAAAAAAAAAAAUUCAACCAAUAACACUUUUAUUGUGAUAACCGAUAAGAAAGAUGAAGAUAUCCUUUCAAAUUUUCUCCAAAGGGAGGAGUCCAAGAAAAAGGGAAUCUUAUUACACCUUUUUGGAUCUGCGGGAAAGGGAAUCGUGAUCGUCCAAGGAAUCCAAUAGCAUCUGCAUUUUCAAAAUUACUACCGUCGGAUUCUAAUUCGUGUUUGUCGUCUUCCCAACCGAUUUGGCACCUCCAUUCAUCGGUGUACGGUUCCGACGUGGCUGUUUGCUUUCUUCUUCUCCUCCGACGAACGAGACCUGAGAAUUGAGAUGUUAACAAUGGCGUUUCUAGGCUCUGUGAUUUCUGUAUUGUCUAUUUCCUUUCCGUCGUCAAACCUUUCGUCGGCCUCACCGUCAUCACUGCUCAACGGCUUUUGUUUCGGUUACCGUUUCAAUUCACUGCUCGGAGAGUUUUAUUGCACCUAUUGCUCCUUGAAGAGGAAAAGACGACUCGCCAUUCUCCUCUUGAUUUUCCAAUUGAACAGUAGAGCUGAAACUGGUAUAUAAUUCUCUCAUAAGCAGUAGCAAGUGAAAGAACAUCUAUGGAGUUCAUCAGCAUUUGAAGGAAGUGCCUAGGUAUUGGUAAGACUAUGAAACUUCUUGGAAUGAAAUGAGAUGCGUUUCUGUUCAAUCAUUUGUGGCUAGUCUAGUUUCAGAGAAUUUUUUUUGAUUUCCAUAGACCUAAACAAGCAAAAAUCUCUAUUUAGUUAUCCAUGUGAUGAAAACCCAGUUGGGAUCUCACUCAAAAGUUUCCUACGACCCAAUCUCUCUGGGGCCACUGUAAGGAUUCAAUAAUGAAGAAUCCAACGUGAGAGAAAAGGAAGUGUGGGCAGAGGGGCCCCUUUGUUGCUGUGGACCAGAUUAAGACCCUUUGUCGAUGGAGAGAAGACUCUGGUAACAUGCUUCUUGGAUUAUUGUAGGGGAGAGAGUUAGAGAAGAUUCUGCUGAGGAGUAACUUUAAGGAAAAGUGACAGAGAGAGAGAGGAAGGCAGAGAUUCUGAUAAGGAGGCAUAUGAAUUAUCCCUAAGCCGAGGAGUAAAUUAAGCAGCAGAGAGAAUCUGAUAAGAGGGGAUGUUUCAAUUAUCCCAAGCCUAAAAAGUAACUUUAUGCAGCAGUAGAGUGGGAGAAUUGUGAUAAGGAGGUAUUGGAAAGUGAAUUGUUUUGGUAAGAAAAAGACAAAAGAAGAUACAAAGAUAGGCUAUCGAAACAUGGUUGAAGUCAAGAUAAUGGCAUCUCUCUCUUCCAUACUCCAAUGAAGUUCACCAAAAAUCUGUAGCUGUAUUGAAUAUAUGAAUCCAAAUGAUGCUCAACAUUUCUUGUUGGUGGGCCGCAUACUACUUUAAUAACAGUAGCAGCACAGACAGCGAUGGCUGCAACCUUGCAUGUGUUAAUUGCGAACUACGGCCACAAAGAGUCAAUUUUUUACAGCUCAAGAACCUGACUGCUUUCAACUUUCAAGGGUACGUGUAUAUUCCUAACCUGUUAUGUUAUUUCAUAUAUUAUUUGGUACAACUUGACUUUUUAAACUAGUUUAAGUUUGUGGAGCUGAAUUAUAGCUCAGCUAUAAUCGAUAGGUGGAAGGUUCAAUUCAUUUUCUUCACAAUUGUUGCAUUGAAAAAGCAAAAAAAAUUGAUUUAAUAAGACUAAUACUGGAUUAUUUAUACUACAAAAAUUAAAUUUAAAAUAAUUUUUCUAAUUUUUAAAAAUCAAUUUUGUUUUAUUGCAAAAUAUUAUUAUAUUAAAUACAUAUGGUGGUGGAAAUGGACUCUGUGUUAUAUAUAUAUAUGUUAUAAUAUAUUUUAACAUGCGUCAGUUUUGAUAAUUUAUUUUUCUUAAACUGUGAACCCAGGAAGUAAACAAAAAACUUCUUUUUAAUAAUAUAUCACUUUCUUUUGAGAACCUUUUGAUAUUUUUUAUUUAAUAUCUAUUUUUUAAUACAAAGAUUUAAAAAAAAAAAGAAAAAGGAAAAGGAAAAAGGAAAAAGAAAAAAGAGCAAGUAGCAGCAAAAGUGCAUCUGUUACCAACUUGGUUGCUUGUGAAUUGUGAUGGUUGCAUCAUCUUUUUCCUGAUGGUCAAUAAUUGCCUAAUUCUAUUUGUAUCAAUAUCUUUGGUAUAUCAACCAAAUUAAUGUGUACUAUAUUUGAUAUAUCAAUUGAUUAUGAUGUAGGUUAGUUGUAUUUCAAUGUUAUGUUAUAAAUGAAUUUUGAAUGAGUAUUGGUAAACUGCUUAUACUUAGUAUUUGAUGUAGUAUUGACACAGGUAAUGAUAUAUUUGA
Long non-coding RNA from Cucumis melo (muskmelon), 2464 nucleotides. RefSeq lists it as uncharacterized. The record is from RefSeq and is a predicted model, not a curated record. NCBI's taxonomy places the organism in Eukaryota, Viridiplantae, Streptophyta, Magnoliopsida, Cucurbitales, Cucurbitaceae. The transcript has 3 exons.